Parasteatoda tepidariorum (common house spider) is the source of this 177-nucleotide non-coding RNA. Lineage: Eukaryota; Metazoa; Arthropoda; Arachnida; Araneae; Theridiidae. The record is from RefSeq and is a predicted model, not a curated record.
UGUAAUAUUUUUUAUCUUUGAAUUUUUCAGCAAUGAGCAAUGAAAAUGACAUCAUUUCCCACUUUUCACUCCAAGGCUCUUCGCCAUUGUUCUUGUGCUUGUUAUGGAAGAUGCUUCUGGAUAAUGAUCGAAUAACAACUAUAGCCUAUGAAAUUCUGGAUCGAAUAGGUGCUAGAG